UUAGAGUUUGAUCCUGGCUCAGGAUGAACGCUAGCGGCAGGCUUAACACAUGCAAGUCGAGGGGCAGCAUAAUGAAGUAGCAAUACUGAAUUGAUGGCGACCGGCGCACGGGUGCGUAACGCGUAUGUAACCUACCUUUAACAGGGGGAUAACACUGAGAAAUUGGUACUAAUACCCCAUAACACAAUUGAGGGCAUCCUUAGUUGUUAAAAGUUCCGGCGGUUAAAGAUGGACAUGCGUUGUAUUAGCUAGAUGGUGAGGUAACGGCUCACCAUGGCGACGAUACAUAGGGGGACUGAGAGGUUAACCCCCCACAUUGGUACUGAGACACGGACCAAACUCCUACGGGAGGCAGCAGUGAGGAAUAUUGGUCAAUGGACGCAAGUCUGAACCAGCCAUGCCGCGUGCAGGAAGACGGCUCUAUGAGUUGUAAACUGCUUUUGUACAAGGGUAAACCUCGGUACGUGUACCGAGCUGAAAGUACUGUACGAAUAAGGAUCGGCUAACUCCGUGCCAGCAGCCGCGGUAAUACGGAGGAUCCAAGCGUUAUCCGGAUUUAUUGGGUUUAAAGGGUGCGUAGGCGGAUUGAUAAGUUAGAGGUGAAAGCUCGGGGCUCAACUCCGGAACUGCCUCUAAUACUGUUGAUCUAGAGAGUAGAUGCGGUAGGCGGAAUGUAUGGUGUAGCGGUGAAAUGCUUAGAGAUCAUACAGAACACCGAUUGCGAAGGCAGCUUACCAAACUAUAUCUGACGUUGAGGCACGAAAGUGUGGGGAGCAAACAGGAUUAGAUACCCUGGUAGUCCACACUGUAAACGAUGAAUGCUAGGUGUAGGGAAGGAUACUUUUCUGUGCCGCAGUUAACACAAUAAGCAUUCCACCUGGGGAGUACGGCCGCAAGGUUGAAACUCAAAGGAAUUGACGGGAGCCCGCACAAGCAGUGGAGUAUGUGGUUUAAUUCGACGCAACGCGAAGAACCUUACCUAAACUUGACAUCCCGGAAAAAGGCCCAUAAAAAGCUAAUGCCCUUCGGGGAAUCUGGUGACAGGUGGUGCAUGGUUGUCGUCAGCUCGUGUCGUGAGAUGUUGGGUUAAGUCCCGCAACGAGCGCAACCCCUACGGUUAGUUGCUACGCAAGAGCACUCUAGCCGGACUGCCGUUGACAAAACGGAGGAAGGCGGGGACGACGUCAAAUCAUCAUGCCCCUUACGUUUAGGGCUACACACGUACUACAAUGGCGCAAACAAAGGGAAGCGAUGCCGCGAGGCGGAGCAAAACCCAAAAAAGGCGUCCCAGUUCGGACUGCAGGCUGCAACUCGCCUGCACGAAGUUGGAAUUGCUAGUAAUCGCGGAUCAGCAUGCCGCGGUGAAUACGUUCCCGGGCUUUGUACACACCGCCCGUCAAG
This 1401-nucleotide ribosomal RNA is filed under the name uncultured bacterium. RNAcentral's name for it is "partial 16S ribosomal RNA". It matches the Rfam family "Bacterial small subunit ribosomal RNA". The record is from RNAcentral.